UACGAAGGGGGCUAGCGUUGUUCGGAAUUACUGGGCGUAAAGCGCACGUAGGCGGAUCGAUAAGUAAGGGGUGAAAUCCCAGAGCUCAACUCUGGAACUGCCUUUUAAACUGUCGAUCUGGAGCAGAGUAGAGGUGAGUGGAAUUCCGAGUGUAGAGGUGAAAUUCGUAGAUAUUCGGAGGAACACCAGUGGCGAAGGCGGCUCACUGGACUCUUGCUGACGCUCAGGUGCGAAAGCGUGGGGAGCAAACAGG
This 253-nucleotide ribosomal RNA is filed under the name uncultured bacterium. RNAcentral's name for it is "partial 16S ribosomal RNA". It matches the Rfam family "Bacterial small subunit ribosomal RNA", at positions 524 to 776 of the family's 1533-position model. The record is from RNAcentral.